This 70-nucleotide transfer RNA is filed under the name Fenusa (Kaliofenusa) sp. 2 GYN-2022b. RNAcentral's name for it is "tRNA-Asn". The record is from RNAcentral. Lineage: Eukaryota; Metazoa; Arthropoda; Insecta; Hymenoptera; Tenthredinidae.
UUAAUUGAAGCCAAAAAUAAAGGCAUAUUAUUGUUAAUAAUACAAUUGAAAUAAAUUUUUUCCAAUUAAA